GAUGAACGCUGGCGGCGUGCCUAAUACAUGCAAGUCGAGCGAACGGACGAGAAGCUUGCUUCACUGAUGUUAGCGGCGGACGGGUGAGUAACACGUGGAUAACCUACCUAUAAGACUGGGAUAACUUCGGGAAACCGGAGCUAAUACCGGAUGAUAUUUUGAACCGCAUGGUUCAAAAGUGAAAGACGGUCUUGCUGUCACUUAUAGAUGGAUCCGCGCUGCAUUAGCUAGUUGGUAAGGUAACGGCUUACCAAGGCAACGGUGCAUAGCCGACCUGAGAGGAUGAUCGGCCACACUGGAACAGAGACACGGUCCAGACUCCUACGGGAGGCAGCAGUAGGGAAUCUUCCGCAAUGGGCGAAAGCCUGACGGAGCAAAACCGCGUGAGUGAUGAAGGUCUUCGGAUCGUAAAACUCUGUUAUUAGGGAAGAACAUAUGUGUAAGUAACUGUGCACAUCUUGACGGUACCUAAUCAGAAAGCCACGGCUAACUACGUG
This 497-nucleotide ribosomal RNA is filed under the name uncultured bacterium. Its description in RNAcentral is "partial 16S ribosomal RNA". It matches the Rfam family "Bacterial small subunit ribosomal RNA", at positions 28 to 507 of the family's 1533-position model. The record is from RNAcentral.